GUGCCAGCAGCCGCGGUAAUACCGGCAGCCCAAGUGAUGGCCGCUGUUAUUUGGCCUAAAGCGUCCGUAGCUGGCCGCACAAGUCCGUCGGGAAAUCCGCCCGCUCAACGGGCGGCCGUCCGGCGGAACCUGUGUGGCUUGGGACCGGGAGGCCUGGGGGGUACGAUCGGGGUAGGAGUGAAAUCCUGUAAUCCCGCUCGGACCGCCGAUGGCGAAAGCACGUCGCGAGAACGGAUCCGACAGUGAGGGACGAAAGCCAGGGUCUCGAACCGGAUUAGAUACCCGAGUAGUCC
Molecule: ribosomal RNA, 293 nt
Filed under: uncultured bacterium
Lineage: Bacteria
Description: partial 16S ribosomal RNA
Rfam family: Archaeal small subunit ribosomal RNA
Source: RNAcentral